Molecule: ribosomal RNA, 482 nt
Filed under: uncultured bacterium
Lineage: Bacteria
Description: bacterial SSU rRNA
Rfam family: Bacterial small subunit ribosomal RNA
Source: RNAcentral
UUGAACGCUGGCGGAAUGCUUUACACAUGCAAGUCGAGCGGCAGCGCGGGGGCAACCCUGGCGGCGAGCGGCGAACGGGUGAGUAACAUAUCGGAACGUACCCUAUCGUGGGGGAUAACACAUCGAAAGAUGUGCUAAUACCGCAUACGACCUGAGGGUGAAAGCAGGGGAUCGCAAGACCUUGCGCGACAGGAGCGGCCGAUAUCGGAUUAGCUAGUUGGUGAGGUAAAGGCUCACCAAGGCGACGAUCCGUAGCUGGUCUGAGAGGACGACCAGCCACACUGGAACUGAGACACGGUCCAGACUCCUACGGGAGGCAGCAGUGGGGAAUUUUGGACAAUGGGCGAAAGCCUGAUCCAGCCAUUCCGCGUGAGUGAAGAAGGCCUUCGGGUUGUAAAGCUCUUUCGGCAGGAACGAAAUGGUCACGGUUAAUAACCGUGACUUCUGACGGUACCUGAAGAAGAAGCACCGGCUAACUACGU